AAGUCGUAACAAGGUCUCCGUUGGUGAACCAGCGGAGGGAUCAUUAUAGAGUUCUAAACUCCAAACCUUUGUGAACAUAUACGUGUUGCUUCGGCGGGUUGGGGGGCCCAGCGCCCACCGUCGCCCGCCGGGGACCCAAACUCUUGCCUUCUAGCGGAAUCUUCUGAGUGAAAGCAAAUAAAAUCAAAACUUUCAGCAACGGAUCUCUUGGCUCUAGCAUCGAUGAAGAACGCAGCGAAAUGCGAUAAGUAAUGUGAAUUGCAGAAUUCAGUGAAUCAUCGAAUCUUUGAACGCACAUUGCGCCCGCCAGCACUCUGGCGGGCAUGCCUGUUCGAGCGUCAUUUCAACCCUCAGCGCCCCCCCGCGGGCGCUGGCGUUGGGGAUUGGCAGCCAGCCAGCCCCUAAAUCUAGUGGCGGUCCCUCCGCGACCUCCCCUGUGCAGUAGCGAUACCUCGCAGCGGGACAGCGGUCUGACCACGCCGUAAAACCCCCUACUUCUCAAGGUUGACCUCGGAUCAGGUAGGACUACCCGCUGAACUUAAGCAUAUCAAUAAGCGGAGGAAAAGAAACCAACAGGGAUUGCCUCAGUAACGGCGAGUGAAGCGGCAACAGCUCAAAUUUGAAAUCUGGCCCCAGGCCCGAGUUGUAAUUUGCAGAGGAUGCUUCUGGCGACGUGCCUUCCAAGUUCCCUGGAACGGGACGCCAUAGAGGGUGAGAGCCCCGUACGGUAGUGCACCUAGCCUCUGUGAAGCUCCUUCGAC
This 761-nucleotide small RNA is filed under the name uncultured Acremonium. Its description in RNAcentral is "eukaryotic LSU rRNA". The stretch from base 506 to 761 matches the Rfam family "Eukaryotic large subunit ribosomal RNA", at positions 1 to 261 of the family's 3401-position model. The record is from RNAcentral. Lineage: Eukaryota; Fungi; Ascomycota.